CCAGGAUCUGGGAAGGCGAUGGAGCCCACAAAGAUUAGGACCAAGACCUAGUACUCAGUUGAAGAUCUGUGGGAAGUAAGCAUUAACACUCAAUUUCUGCCUCCUGUACUUUCAGGAUAAAGUCUGAAACUAACUUUCUUCGGUAUGUGUUCAUCCAAUGUCUAGCAUGAAGUGCCCAGUACACAUACCUGCUUUCAGAGAGCAAAUUAAUAGCGGUAGCAGUGAUAAAGCUGAUGUUUAAAAGCUGAAGAUACCACAAUAUGAGAAGUCAUCUGAGAAAGUAAGUUGCUUGGGUUAGACCCCAUCGCUGGUGUGUUUGUACAGAACAUGGCAGAGCUCCUGGGUCCUCCCAGCCACCACCGAACAAGUAAGCUCUUUCCAGGGGAUUGCAGUGCCGGGCAUGUGGUUGCCUUAUUGAGAGAAGUACAAACUCUGGUUAAGGCAACUAGCUCUAUUCAAGACAACGUUCGUAGUGGCUCACUAGCUUCUAUAAAACUGAAGUCUCUGACUGUUGUGCCAAGCCUUUCAUCUGACCCUUGACUUGCUUUCAGUCUCCUGUCUCUGGGUGCUAACACAUGGGGAACUGCCCUUCCAGAGGCUGAGUUACCAGUCCUGGACCUCUUUACCAUACCUAGACAGACUCAUCUGAUAUAUUACAACAUAACUGAAUUAAAAUCAAAGACUUGCAUUAAUUUACUAGAAAGAAAAUCUGGAUGCUUAGGGUGGAAGCAUCACCUCUAGGAAAAGAAGGCAAUUUGACUACAAGCCAACCACUUUAUUCCAUAAAUAUGACAGCCUAAGGGAGCCUUCUUUGAGUUCUCCCUGCUAAGCACCCUGGCU
This is a long non-coding RNA of Harpia harpyja (harpy eagle), 840 nucleotides long. RefSeq lists it as uncharacterized. The transcript is spliced from 5 exons. The record is from RefSeq and is a predicted model, not a curated record. NCBI's taxonomy places the organism in Eukaryota, Metazoa, Chordata, Aves, Accipitriformes, Accipitridae.